GGCAUUCUUGCCUGAAAAGGCAUUCGAUUGAAAUAUUUCUGAGUGAUUAGCAGAAUUUAAUUGCUCAUUGUUUUUUCAUAUUACUUUGUAUAUAAUGAUCUAGGUAGUUCUUUUUGUUUUUUGUUUUUCAGAGUAAACAAAUAGCUGUGUCAAAGACCUAGAUGAAUAGUUGAUGCUUGUCUUGUUGCAAGGACAGUACUUAAUGCUGCGCAAGUGUUCUCUCCUGUCGUCUCUCUCACACACAAAAACAACAAUAGCCAUCAAUAUUAAUAGAUACAAAAGGACGGCACUACUUACAAGAACACUACAACCAAUACUAUUAUUACCAAAGAUGACAACUAAUAGCCUAACGAAUACAAACUAGUACCACUACUAGUGAAACCAAAAUCAGCAUUAACACCACCACCAUCAUUAAAGUCGGUUCCUUGUAAGUUGACAGGGAAUUCGAUUGAUUUCUAUGUAAACCGCAAAAUAUUAUCAGAUGGAAGUGUACUAGAAUAUUACUGGUAUUCGUUUCCUACGACUGAUUUUUGAAUUGCGAUCACUGAAUUCAAGUAUCGAAGUAAGCCUAUACAAUAAAGCCACCCACUAUCAGUUCCUGUGACACAGUCAGCUUCCAUCAACACGCGAACAGCAGUUAAAACGAAACUAUAACGACAAUUGCAGUAAAUAUCAAAGACAACAACAACAACACACAUACAUUAAAAAUUACAACAACAACAACACACAUACAGUAAAAAUUACAACAACAACAACAACAGAGCAACUACAAAAGCAACAAGCAUUGAACAACAGCUACCACGACUACAACAAAGGCAAUUAAUAAACAAUUAACGAAUAACGUCCGAUAAAGAAGGAAGCAAAAAAAAAAAACAAUAGUACCGCCACCAGCAACAGAAAGACAAUAUCUUGUUUGUAUUUGACGUCUCAUCUUUACACAUGUGAGUUCAUUCAAAA
Molecule: long non-coding RNA, 957 nt
Organism: Octopus sinensis (East Asian common octopus)
Lineage: Eukaryota; Metazoa; Mollusca; Cephalopoda; Octopoda; Octopodidae
Exons: 2
Source: RefSeq, a predicted model, not a curated record